GCCGACCUAGCUCAUCUGGUAGAGCAACGGUAUCGUAAACCGUAGGUACGGGGUUCGAGUCCCCGGGUUGGCU
This 73-nucleotide transfer RNA is filed under the name Minisyncoccota bacterium. RNAcentral's name for it is "tRNA-Thr". It matches the Rfam family "tRNA". From Rfam's summary of the family: Transfer RNA (tRNA) molecules are approximately 80 nucleotides in length. Lineage: Bacteria; Bacillati; Minisyncoccota. The record is from RNAcentral.